Molecule: ribosomal RNA, 460 nt
Filed under: uncultured bacterium
Lineage: Bacteria
Description: partial 16S ribosomal RNA
Rfam family: Bacterial small subunit ribosomal RNA
Source: RNAcentral
CCUACGGGGGACAGCAGUGAGGAAUAUUGGUCAAUGGCCGAAAGUCUGAACCAGCCAAGCCGCGUGAAGGACGAAGGUCCUAUGCAUUGUAAACUUCUUUUAUAUAGGGAUAAAAUCAUGCUCGUGAGCGUUACCGUUUGUACUUUAUGAAAAAGCAUCGGCUAACUCCGUGCCAGCAGCCGCGGUAAUACGGAGGAUGCGAGCGUUAUCCGGAUUUAUUGGGUUUAAAGGGAGCGUAGGUGGACUGUUAAGUCAGUUGUGAAAGUCUGCGGCUCAACCGGAGGAGAGCAGUUGAAACUGGCAGUCUUGAGAACAGGAGAGGUGAGCGGAAUGCGAAGUGUAGCGGUGAAAUGCUUAGAUAUAGCGAAGAACUCCGAUUGCGAAGGCAGCUUACUGGCCUGGAACUGACGCUGAGGCUCGAAAGUGUGGGUAUCAAACAGGAUUAGAUACCCGAGUAGUC